Long non-coding RNA from Macrobrachium nipponense, 1506 nucleotides. RefSeq lists it as uncharacterized. The transcript has 2 exons. Lineage: Eukaryota; Metazoa; Arthropoda; Malacostraca; Decapoda; Palaemonidae. The record is from RefSeq and is a predicted model, not a curated record.
UUAUAACUUGCAACACUUGUCAAUGCUGCUAGCAAAAAUAAAUUUAUAUAAAUCUUGCUAAAUUCAAUUUAAAAAAUCAUAAACCCUAUUCAAAUUUUGCACGUUUGUAUAAAUGCACCCACCCAUCAAAAUCAUGCAAGAACCAGGUAAAAUUAAAAUAAGGUAAAAUUAAAAUAAGAGUAUAGGCUAUACUUAUCACUAUUUUAAAAUUUCUACAGUCAAAGACCAGCCCCAUAAAAACUGAUAUAUACUGAAAUAUAUUCAAAUGCUGAUUAUUCUCCAAGAACCAUGGAAAAAUUAGAUUUACCAUCCUCAUCUCGGUACUUCAGGGAGUAAUCGCUGUCAUGGUCCACAGAGAGAGAGAAUCGUGACCCGUUUCACUGUGGUAUUCCAGAAAUUAAAUAUCAAUGUCAUCCUGGUAUUCUAAAAAUUAAAUAUCAAUGUCUUCCCGGUAGUAUUCCAAAGAUUAAAUAUCUGUCUUCCCGGUAUUCCAAAAAUUAAAUAUCAAUGUCUUCCCGGUAGUAUUCCAAAGACUGAAUACCUGUCUUCCCAGUACUCCAAAAAUUAAAUAUCAAUUCAUAAAGGUAAGUAUUCCAAAAAUUAAAUAUCCAUGCCAUCCCGGUAGUAUUCCAAAAAUUAAAUAUCACUGUCUUCCCGUUAGUAUUCCAGAAAUUAAAUAUCUAUGUCUUCCAGGUAAUAUUCCAAAAAUUAAUUAUCAAUGUCUGUCUUCCAGGUAGUAUUCCAAAAAUGUCAUCCGGGUAUUCCAAAAAUUAAAUAUCAAUGUGUUCCAGGUAGUAUUCCAAAAAUGUCAUCUGGGUAUUCCAGAAAUUAAAUAUCACUGUCUUCCAGGUAGUAUUCCAAAAAUGUCAUCUGGGCAUUCCAAAAAUUAAAUAUCACUGUCUUCCCAUUAGUAUUCCAGAAAUUAAAUAUCUGUCUUCCAGGUAGUAUUCCAAAAAUUAAAUAUUAAUGUCUUCCCGGUAGUAUUCCAAAAAUGUCAUUCGGGUAUUCCAAAAAUUAAAUAUCACUGCCUUCCCAUUAGUAUUCCAGAAAUUAAAUAUCUAUGUCUUCCAGGUAGUAUUCCAAAAAUUAAAUAUUAGUGUCUUCCCGGUAGUAUUCCAAAAAUGUCAUCCGGGUAUUCCAAAAAUUAAAUAUCAAUGUCUUCCAGGUAGUAUUCCAAAAAUUAAAUAUCAAUGUCUUCCAGGUAGUAUUCCAAAAAUUAAAUAUUAGUGUCUUCCCGGUAGUAUUCCAAAAAUGUCAUCCAGGUAUUCCAAAAAUUAAAUAUCAAUGUCUUCCAGGUAGUAUUCCAAAAAUCAAAUAUUAGUGUCUUCCCGGUAGUAUUCCAAAAAUGUCAUCCGGGUAUUCCAAAAAUUAAAUAUCAAUGUCUUCCAGGUAGUAUUCCAAAAAUUAAAUAUCAAUGUCUUCCAGGUAGUAUUCCAAAAAUUAAAUAUCAAUGUCUUCCAGGUAGUAUUCCAAAAAUUAAAUAUCAGUGCCAUCCUGGUAAUAUUC